GGUUAAGCGACUAAGCGUACACGGUGGAUGCCCUGGCAGUCAGAGGCGAUGAAGGACGUGCUAAUCUGCGAUAAGCGUCGGUAAGGUGAUAUGAACCGUUAUAACCGGCGAUUUCCGAAUGGGGAAACCCAGUGUGAUUCGUCACACUAUCAUUAACUGAAUCCAUAGGUUAAUGAGGCGAACCGGGGGAACUGAAACAUCUAAGUACCCCGAGGAAAAGAAAUCAACCGAGAUUCCCCCAGUAGCGGCGAGCGAACGGGGAGCAGCCCAGAGCCUGAAUCAGUGUGUGUGUUAGUGGAAGCGUCUGGAAAGGCGCGCGAUACAGGGUGACAGCCCCGUACACAAAAAUGCACAUGCUGUGAGCUCGAUGAGUAGGGCGGGACACGUGGUAUCCUGUCUGAAUAUGGGGGGACCAUCCUCCAAGGCUAAAUACUCCUGACUGACCGAUAGUGAACCAGUACCGUGAGGGAAAGGCGAAAAGAACCCCGGCGAGGGGAGUGAAAAAGAACCUGAAACCGUGUACGUACAAGCAGUGGGAGCACGCUUAGGCGUGUGACUGCGUACCUUUUGUAUAAUGGGUCAGCGACUUAUAUUCUGUAGCAAGGUUAACCGAAUAGGGGAGCCGAAGGGAAACCGAGUCUUAACUGGGCGUUAAGUUGCAGGGUAUAGACCCGAAACCCGGUGAUCUAGCCAUGGGCAGGUUGAAGGUUGGGUAACACUAACUGGAGGACCGAACCGACUAAUGUUGAAAAAUUAGCGGAUGACUUGUGGCUGGGGGUGAAAGGCCAAUCAAACCGGGAGAUAGCUGGUUCUCCCCGAAAGCUAUUUAGGUAGCGCCUCGUGAAUUCAUCUCCGGGGGUAGAGCACUGUUUCGGCAAGGGGGUCAUCCCGACUUACCAACCCGAUGCAAACUACGAAUACCGGAGAAUGUUAUCACGGGAGACACACGGCGGGUGCUAACGUCCGUCGUGAAGAGGGAAACAACCCAGACCGCCAGCUAAGGUCCCAAAGUCAUGGUUAAGUGGGAAACGAUGUGGGAAGGCCCAGACAGCCAGGAUGUUGGCUUAGAAGCAGCCAUCAUUUAAAGAAAGCGUAAUAGCUCACUGGUCGAGUCGGCCUGCGCGGAAGAUGUAACGGGGCUAAACCAUGCACCGAAGCUGCGGCAGCGACGCUUAUGCGUUGUUGGGUAGGGGAGCGUUCUGUAAGCCUGUGAAGGUGUACUGUGAGGUAUGCUGGAGGUAUCAGAAGUGCGAAUGCUGACAUAAGUAACGAUAAAGCGGGUGAAAAGCCCGCUCGCCGGAAGACCAAGGGUUCCUGUCCAACGUUAAUCGGGGCAGGGUGAGUCGACCCCUAAGGCGAGGCCGAAAGGCGUAGUCGAUGGGAAACAGGUUAAUAUUCCUGUACUUGGUGUUACUGCGAAGGGGGGACGGAGAAGGCUAUGUUGGCCGGGCGACGGUUGUCCCGGUUUAAGCGUGUAGGCUGGUUUUCCAGGCAAAUCCGGAAAAUCAAGGCUGAGGCGUGAUGACGAGGCACUACGGUGCUGAAGCAACAAAUGCCCUGCUUCCAGGAAAAGCCUCUAAGCAUCAGGUAACAUCAAAUCGUACCCCAAACCGACACAGGUGGUCAGGUAGAGAAUACCAAGGCGCUUGAGAGAACUCGGGUGAAGGAACUAGGCAAAAUGGUGCCGUAACUUCGGGAGAAGGCACGCUGAUAUGUAGGUGAAGUCCCUCGCGGAUGGAGCUGAAAUCAGUCGAAGAUACCAGCUGGCUGCAACUGUUUAUUAAAAACACAGCACUGUGCAAACACGAAAGUGGACGUAUACGGUGUGACGCCUGCCCGGUGCCGGAAGGUUAAUUGAUGGGGUUAGCGCAAGCGAAGCUCUUGAUCGAAGCCCCGGUAAACGGCGGCCGUAACUAUAACGGUCCUAAGGUAGCGAAAUUCCUUGUCGGGUAAGUUCCGACCUGCACGAAUGGCGUAAUGAUGGCCAGGCUGUCUCCACCCGAGACUCAGUGAAAUUGAACUCGCUGUGAAGAUGCAGUGUACCCGCGGCAAGACGGAAAGACCCCGUGAACCUUUACUAUAGCUUGACACUGAACAUUGAGCCUUGAUGUGUAGGAUAGGUGGGAGGCUUUGAAGUGUGGACGCCAGUCUGCAUGGAGCCGACCUUGAAAUACCACCCUUUAAUGUUUGAUGUUCUAACGUUGACCCGUAAUCCGGGUUGCGGACAGUGUCUGGUGGGUAGUUUGACUGGGGCGGUCUCCUCCUAAAGAGUAACGGAGGAGCACGAAGGUUGGCUAAUCCUGGUCGGACAUCAGGAGGUUAGUGCAAUGGCAUAAGCCAGCUUGACUGCGAGCGUGACGGCGCGAGCAGGUGCGAAAGCAGGUCAUAGUGAUCCGGUGGUUCUGAAUGGAAGGGCCAUCGCUCAACGGAUAAAAGGUACUCCGGGGAUAACAGGCUGAUACCGCCCAAGAGUUCAUAUCGACGGCGGUGUUUGGCACCUCGAUGUCGGCUCAUCACAUCCUGGGGCUGAAGUAGGUCCCAAGGGUAUGGCUGUUCGCCAUUUAAAGUGGUACGCGAGCUGGGUUUAGAACGUCGUGAGACAGUUCGGUCCCUAUCUGCCGUGGGCGCUGGAGAAUUGAGGGGGGCUGCUCCUAGUACGAGAGGACCGGAGUGGACGCAUCACUGGUGUUCGGGUUGUCAUGCCAAUGGCACUGCCCGGUAGCUAAAUGCGGAAGAGAUAAGUGCUGAAAGCAUCUAAGCACGAAACUUGCCCCGAGAUGAGUUCUCCCUGACUCCUUGAGAGUCCUGAAGGAACGUUGAAGACGACGACGUUGAUAGGCCGGGUGUGUAAGCGCAGCGAUGCGUUGAGCUAACCGGUACUAAUGAACCGUGAGGCUUAACCUU
Molecule: ribosomal RNA, 2904 nt
Filed under: Escherichia coli
Lineage: Bacteria; Pseudomonadati; Pseudomonadota; Gammaproteobacteria; Enterobacterales; Enterobacteriaceae
Description: 23S ribosomal RNA
Rfam family: Bacterial large subunit ribosomal RNA
Source: RNAcentral